RNAcentral lists this long non-coding RNA (348 nucleotides) under Bos taurus (domestic cattle). RNAcentral describes it as "long non-coding RNA NONBTAT019213". The record is from RNAcentral. Lineage: Eukaryota; Metazoa; Chordata; Mammalia; Artiodactyla; Bovidae.
CCAGCAUCUGCAUAUUUUACAUAAAGAGAAUAGCUCAUUAAUUGUUCUCCAUGAUUGACUUUGUUCUCAUUUGAAGAGGUUUUGUGACUGGUGUAUUCUGAUGUUGCAGAGUAUAAGGUAGGUCAUAAAGCAUAUGCUGAGACUUGUUGAACAUAGGCUAGAGGGUCUAUAGGAGGAAAGUGGAAGAGUGAAUGACAAACCUCCAUUUUAAUUUGGGCCAUUGGUUUGUUCUCUUGGGUCUUAGGAUAGGAGAAGCAGCAUGUUGAGUAUGAGACCCAAGAUGAGAUAUGAGAGUCAUAGUUCAGAAAAGUCCAAGUUUAAUGAAGUGAGUAGUAUUUCUUCUGGUUG